Non-coding RNA from Chlorocebus sabaeus (green monkey), 267 nucleotides. The record is from Rfam. Lineage: Eukaryota; Metazoa; Chordata; Mammalia; Primates; Cercopithecidae.
GCCAGGCAUGGUGGCACGCGCCUGUAGUCCCAGCUACUUGGGAAGCUGAGGUGGGAGAAUUGCUUGAGCCCAGGAGGUGGAGGUUGCAGUGAGCUGAGAUCGCACCACUGCACUCCAGCCUGGGCCACAGAGUGAGACUCUGUCCCCACCCCCCGCCCCCCAAAAAAAGAUGGAGUCUCACUCUGUGGUCCAGGCUGGAGUGCAGUGGUGCGAUCUCGGUUCACUGCAACCUCCGCCUCCCGGGUUCAAGAAAUUCUCCCGCCUCAG